This 465-nucleotide ribosomal RNA is filed under the name uncultured bacterium. RNAcentral describes it as "partial 16S ribosomal RNA". It matches the Rfam family "Bacterial small subunit ribosomal RNA", at positions 338 to 795 of the family's 1533-position model. The record is from RNAcentral.
CCUACGGGAGGCAGCAGUGGGGAAUAUUGCGCAAUGGGCGAAAGCCUGACGCAGCGAAGCAGCGUGAGGGAUGAAGGUCUUCGGAUCGUAAACCUCUGUCAGCAGGGAAGAACGGUCACUGUGCUAAUCAGCAGUGAAUUGACGCUACCUGCAAAGGAAGCACCGGCUAACUCCGUGCCAGCAGCGGCAGUAAUACGGAGGGUGCGAGUGUUAAUCGGAAUUACUGGGCGUAAAGCGCUCGUAGGCGGUAUGUCAAGUCAAGGGUGAAAUCCCCGCGCUCAACGUGGGAACUGCCUUUGAAACUGGCAACCUGGAGUGUGUGAGAGGAUAGUGGAAUUCCAGGUGUAGGAGUGAAAUCCGUAGAUAUCUGGAGGAACAUCAGUGGCGAAGGCGACUAUCUGGCACAUAACUGACGCUGAGGAGCGAAAGCGUGGGGAGCAAACAGGAUUAGAUACCCGGGUAGUC